AAAACUGCAUGAUGAAGUGGUGAAGAAGAAAAAAGAAUCGAAAUUGAGAAGGAGCAGCGAUCCAAUUUGAAGAAAAAAUCACUAAUACGUAACUGAGAAAAAACAAUGUACUUGUACAUCAGGAUGUAGGGGGGGGGGGGGGGGGGGGGAACAAUUUGUGGGUCGCUGCUCAGUUCCAUCGACGAGGACAGCAGGGUCCUCUUUGCUGCCGCCGUGCGUGUGCGCUGCUCCUUGAUUCUGGGGGCCGCUCGCGCUCCUCACCAUCUGUGGUGUCGCGUCGCUCGGAGCACCGAAGCGCCGGGAGGGAGGGCAGUGGGGGAGGCCAGAAGGGGACGGAUCAGAUCGGUAGUGGUAGGGAGAAGCCGAGAAGGGCAGCGAGGGCACGGCGGCGCCGGCGCGCCCGCCGCUGCAGGUCUGUGGCGGCGCAACGCGGGGGACGCUGCUCUACUCGGUGAGAGAUUGACGACAUGCAGUUGUG
This 478-nucleotide long non-coding RNA is filed under the name Setaria italica (foxtail millet). RNAcentral's name for it is "long non-coding RNA (SITA_LNC003924)". Lineage: Eukaryota; Viridiplantae; Streptophyta; Magnoliopsida; Poales; Poaceae. The record is from RNAcentral.